Molecule: ribosomal RNA, 123 nt
Filed under: Triticum aestivum (bread wheat)
Lineage: Eukaryota; Viridiplantae; Streptophyta; Magnoliopsida; Poales; Poaceae
Description: partial small subunit ribosomal RNA
Source: RNAcentral
UUUUUUACUACACUACAUAUCUUGGUAAAGCAUUUACCUAAGUUAUGGAAAAUUCAGAAUUCAUCAGUUAUUUUAGAUAAUACUAAAAAACAAGAUAGAGUAAGAUACAGAAGUGUAAAAUAA